CCAUCGGUCCUUCAUCCAAGAACCGAUAAACGCGGUGACCGGCGCCUUCACGGCAUUAAUGAUUAAUUUUAUAAUCCAGUCUGGUAGUUUUAAGAAGCGAGUUCUUGCAUCCGCCCUAUUCGAGUCGGCGGGGCGGUGGAGCGCCAGCGAGCCCAAGGUCUCCCAGGCGAGCAUGGCAGGACUGGAGGGCUCCCGGCAGGGCGCCUCGGCGUCCAUCGGGACCCCGACGGAGGUGCCGGAGAUCUUUCGGCUACAACGCCGGGCAGGUGGGGCUCGUUAGCCGUGGUAGGCAAUCUGCCUAGGAGAGCAAACUCCGAACAACAAACCCGGGCAGGUGAGGUUCGUUAGCCGUGGUAGGCAAUUCACCUAGGAGAGCAAACUCCGAACAAUAAACCCGGGCAGGUGGAGGUCGUUAGCGAAAGCAGUUCAUCUAGGAGAGCAAACUCCGAUUACAAACCCGGGCAGGUGGAGGUCGUUAGCGAAAGCAAUUCAUCUAGGAGAGCAAACUCCGAUUACAAACCCGGGCAGGUGGAGGUCGUUAGCGAAAGCAAUUCAUCUAGGAGAGCAAACUCCGAUUACAAACCCGGGCAGGUGGAGGUCGUUAGCGAAAGCAGUUCACCUAGGAGAGCAAACUCCGAUUACAAACCCGGGCAGGUGAGGUUCGUUAGCCGUGGUAGGCAAUUCACCUAGGAGAGCAAACUCCGAACAAUAAACCCGGGCAGGUUGGGCUCGUGAGCCGUCAUAGGUAAUACACCUAGGAGAGCAAACUCCGAUCAUAAAACCCGGGCAGGUUGGGCUCGUGAGCCGUCAUAGGUAAUACACCUAGGAGAGCAAACUCCGAACAAUAAACCCGGGCAGGUUGGGCUCGUGAGCCGUCAUAGGUAAUACACCUAGGAGAGCAAACUCCAUACAUAAAACCCGGGCAGGUGGAGCUCGUCAGCCGUGGUGGGCAAUCUGCCUAGGAGAGCAAACUCCGAACAAUAAACCCGGGCAGGUGGAGCUCGUCAGCCGUGGUAGGCAGUUUGCCUAGGAGAGCAAACUCCGAACAAUAAACCCGGGCAGGUGGAGCUCGUCAGCCGUGGUAGGCAGUCUGCCUAGGAGAGCAAACUCCGAACAAUAAACCCGGGCAGGUGGAGCUCGUCAGCCGUGGUAGGCAGUCUGCCUAGGAGAGCAAACUCCGAACAAUAAACCGGGGCUUGUGGUGCUCGUUAGAUGUCGUAGACAAUCCACGUGAUGGGAACACCAAAGAAAAGGAAAAUAAAAAGGAACACCAGAAAAAGGAAAAUAUAGUAACAAAACUUCAAAAAAAUAAAAUAAAAAACACAGAUCAUCCACCUUCAGGCCCUAACAUCUCCAAAAUUAUGGGUGAGUCUUUUCUGGGGAGAAAGAGGCUCAUCCAGACCAGACCAAAGAACAUCAAAAAGGGAUGAUAUACAAAGGAACACCCAAAAAAUGGGAAAAAGAAAAAAACAUCGAAAAAGAAAAGUAACAAUAACAGAACAACGUCAAGAAAAGUAACAUACAAAGAAAUAUCAUCCACCAUUCGGCCCCAAACUAACAUCACCAAAAUUAUGGGUGGGUCUUUUCUGGGGAGAAAGAGGCUCACCCAGACCAACGAACAUCAAAGAGGGAUGAUAGAGAAAAGAACACCAAAAAAUAGGGGAAAAAAGAGCAAAAAAACAUCUCAAAAGAAAAGUAACAGCAAUAACAGAACAUCAAGAAAAGUAACAUACAAAGAAACAUCAUCCACCGUUCGGCCCCAAAGUAACAUCACCAAAAUUAUGGGUGGGUCUCUUCUGGGAGGAACGCGGCUCACCCAGACCAACGAAGAACAUCAACAAGAGGAUGAUAUGAAAUAAAAGAACAUUAAAAAACACGAAGAAAAGAAAUAAGAAGAAAAAGAACAGAAAAAAACAUCGGAAAAGAAAAACAAGAAGAAAAACACAUCGAGAAGAAAAAUAUAAGAAACAU
This is a long non-coding RNA of Eriocheir sinensis (Chinese mitten crab), 1971 nucleotides long. RefSeq lists it as uncharacterized. NCBI's taxonomy places the organism in Eukaryota, Metazoa, Arthropoda, Malacostraca, Decapoda, Varunidae. The record is from RefSeq and is a predicted model, not a curated record. The transcript has 3 exons.